CCCCCUGAAUUUAAGCAUAUUAAUUAGGGGAGGAAAAGAAACUAACAAGGAUUUUCUUAGUAGCGGCGAGCGAAAAGAAAACAGUUCAGCACUAAGUCACUUUGUCUAUAUGGCAAAUGUGAGAUGCAGUGUAUGGAGCGUCAAUAUUCUAGUAUGAGAAAUUAAUGAUUUAAGUCCUUCUUAAAUGAGGCCAUUUACCCAUAGAGGGUGCCAGGCCCGUAUAACGUUAAUGAUUGCUAGAUGAUGUUUCCAAAGAGUCGUGUUGCUUGAUAGUGCAGCACUAAGUGGGUGGUAAACUCCAUCUAAAACUAAAUAUAACCAUGAGACCGAUAGUAAACAAGUACCGUGAGGGAAAGUUGAAAAGAACUCUGAAUAGAGAGUUAAACAGUACGUGAAACUGCUUAGAGGUUAAGCCCGAUGAACCUGAAUAUCCGUUAUGGAAAAUUCAUCAUUAAAAUUGUAAUAUUUAAAUAAUAUUAUUAAGAAUAAUGUGCAUUUUUUCCAUAUAGGACAUUGUAAUCUAUUAGCAUAUCCCAAAUUUAUCAUAAAAUAUAACUUAUAGUUUAUUCCAGUGAAUGGCUUGCAUUUUGAACACAGAUAAAUGUAUAUUUGAUAAGUGCUGAUAGAUUUAUAUUAUUACAGAGCGUUAAUUUUUCGGAAUUAUAUAAUGGCAUAAUUAUCAUUGAUUUUUGUGUUUAUUAUAUGCUCUUGUAUGAUUAACAAUGCGAAAGAUUCAGGAUACCUUCGGGACCCGUCUUGAAACACGGACCAAGGAGUCUAACAUAUGUGCAAGUUAUUGGGAUGUAAACCUAAUAGCGUAAUUAACUUGACUAAUAAUGGGAUUAGUUUUUUAGCUAUUUAUAGCUAAUUAACACAAUCCCGGGGCGUUCUAUAUAGUUAUGUAUAAUGUAUAUUUAUAUUAUUUAUGCCUCUAACUGGAACGUACCUUGAGCAUAUAUGCUGUGACCCGAAAGAUGGUGAACUAUACUUGAUCAGGUUGAAGUCAGGGGAAACCCUGAUGGAAGACCGAAACAGUUCUGACGUGCAAAUCGAUUGUCAGAAUUGAGUAUAGGGGCGAAAGACCAAUCGAACCAUCUAGUAGCUGGUUCUUCCGAAGUUUCCCUCAGAUAGCUGGUGCAUUUUAAUAUUAUAUAAAAUAUCUUAUCUGGUAAAGCGAAUGAUUAGAGGCCUUAGGUCGAACGAUCNNNNNNNNNNNNNNNNNNNNNNNNNNNNNNNNNNNNNNNNNNNNNNNNNNNNNNNNNNNNNNNNNNNNNNNNNNNNNNNNNNNNNNNNNNNNNNNNNNNNUUAAAACAGCAGGACGGUGAUCAUGGAAGUCGAAAUCCGCUAAGGAGUGUGUAACAACUCACCUGCCGAAGCAACUAGCCCUUAAAAUGGAUGGCGCUUAAGUUGUAUACCUAUACAUUACCGCUAAAGUAGAUGAUUUAUAUUACUUGUGAUAUAAAUUUUGAAACUUUAGUGAGUAGGAAGGUACAAUGGUAUGCGUAGAAGUGUUUGGCGUAAGCCUGCAUGGAGCUGCCAUUGGUACAGAUCUUGGUGGUAGUAGCAAAUAAUCGAAUGAGACCUUGGAGGACUGAAGUGGAGAAGGGUUUCGUGUGAACAGUGGUUGAUCACGAGUUAGUCGGUCCUAAGUUCAAGGCGAAAGCCGAAAAUUUUCAAGUAAAACAAAAAUGCCUAACUAUAUAAACAAAGCGAAUAUAAUACACUUGAAUAAUUUUGAACGAAAGGGAAUACGGUUCCAAUUCCGUAACCUGUUGAGUAUCCGUUUGUUAUUAAAUAUGGGCCUCGUGCUCAUCCUGGCAACAGGAACGACCAUAAAGAAGCCGUCGAGAGAUAUCGGAAGAGUUUUCUUUUCUGUUUUAUAGCCGUACUACCAUGGAAGUCUUUCGCAGAGAGAUAUGGUAGAUGGGCUAGAAGAGCAUGACAUAUACUGUUGUGUCGAUAUUUUCUCCUCGGACCUUGAAAAUUUAUGGUGGGGACACGCAAACUUCUCAACAGGCCGUACCAAUAUCCGCAGCUGGUCUCCAAGGUGAAGAGUCUCUAGUC
Ribosomal RNA from Drosophila sechellia, 2064 nucleotides. It matches the Rfam family "Eukaryotic large subunit ribosomal RNA", at positions 24 to 1888 of the family's 3401-position model. NCBI's taxonomy places the organism in Eukaryota, Metazoa, Arthropoda, Insecta, Diptera, Drosophilidae. The record is from Rfam.